GCUUAAACUGAAUUAUUUAUUAUAUUCAGUACAUUUUAUCCAUACAGGAUAAAGUCUUUUUCAUGUCAAAAGCAAAACAUACUUAAGCAUAAGCAGCUAAGAAAUGAACGCAGGGGGAUGAGAGGAGCAGGCUGAGCGGGAGGCUGAGGACAGAGACAAGAAACCCACGGAGCCAUUUUCAGGGGAUGCCCCACUCACGCAAAUUUCGGGGAUUCAGAUUUAAAUUCGGGUGGGGCAGUGUGUGAAGGAUGCACUCCGUUAGAAGGUGGCGCUCUGCCAAGCUGCCUUGUACCAAGUAUCUAUUUUUUAAAAUAAGCUGUUCUUUCAAUUUUCAAAUUUGUCAUGUGUGCAAAACCAAAUCUGAUAGCU
RNAcentral lists this long non-coding RNA (369 nucleotides) under Bos taurus (domestic cattle). Its description in RNAcentral is "long non-coding RNA NONBTAT004884". The record is from RNAcentral. Lineage: Eukaryota; Metazoa; Chordata; Mammalia; Artiodactyla; Bovidae.